Molecule: long non-coding RNA, 841 nt
Filed under: Anas platyrhynchos platyrhynchos (common mallard)
Lineage: Eukaryota; Metazoa; Chordata; Aves; Anseriformes; Anatidae
Description: lncRNA (ENSAPLG00000030932.1)
Source: RNAcentral
CUCCUUUUCAUUAUUGUCUGACUUCUUCCUUAAUUAUUUCACUCCUUGUGCUAAUAUGCAACAGAUUGUCUUGAACAUGAUAUGGUCCACUAGAAUCUCACUCCACUGCAACUUCAUUACUUGGCAAUUGUAAUUGUAAUGCUUCAUUUGUCUUUGAUGUAACUUCAUAAGUGACAAUUUUGAGACUGUAUGGAGAAUAGGCUAAUGUUUCUGCAGAGCCUAAUGUAUCACAUUGUAUUACUGCACUUAACAGUGUUGCUGCUCAUGCAUUUUUUCACAAUGCUUUACAGUGAGAGUUGAAGGCUAAGUAAACAAAUAUCCCGGUGGAAUAGGAUUCAGGCACUGACUUGGGACUUGCUGUGGGAAAAAGUUCACAUGAGGCAAGAUGAGAUUAAGACAAUGAAAAAGAAUAAAAAUGAAAAGGACUAAAACAAAAAAAGAUUUAUUGUUCUUUGGGAAAUCUCAAGGCCAUGGAUUUCUGUUCUUACUUAACACUGCACUUUUGUAUUUUCAGAAAGAAUCCAGAGGUAUGCAGAGAAAGAGUCAUCAUGUUGUUUGCAGACUGGAGCUUCAGAUCAAUGAAGAAAGAAAGAGGUGUACAUGCAUGUUAGCAAGCUUAUAAGAAUGACCCCAAGUGGAGCCUUAGUUCAGGAAGAACAUCAACGUAAACCAUCAUGUGUGCCACCAAGAGAUUCCAGAUAUGCUGACUGAGUGGAACACGCCUCCACCACCCAAACCAGAUUGGAAACAUCAGUCAUCAGACCCAGUGGAAAAAUAGACGGCUGAGAAUAACUCUAAGAGAAGAAUUUUCUCUUCUAAAUAAAAAACAAACAAACAAACA